GUACAUUAGUGCUUGCGCACGACAAUAAAUUUCAUUACAUUCGAGUUUGUGUAAAAAUCCUCUGCCGGCCGAAGCUAGCAAGAGGCCAAAGGUUCACAGGGUAUUGGAUGAAAGUCACCGACGUGCACAUGCCGAAGCCGGCCAGCACUGACGGCGACGAUUCGCAAUCAAUAAUGAUCCUUCCGCAGGUUCACCUACGGAAA
This 203-nucleotide unclassified non-coding RNA is filed under the name uncultured fungus. RNAcentral's name for it is "sequence contains ITS1". Lineage: Eukaryota; Fungi. The record is from RNAcentral.